RNAcentral lists this ribosomal RNA (273 nucleotides) under uncultured bacterium. Its description in RNAcentral is "partial 16S ribosomal RNA". It matches the Rfam family "Bacterial small subunit ribosomal RNA", at positions 524 to 796 of the family's 1533-position model. The record is from RNAcentral.
UACAGAGGGUGCUAGCGUUGUUCGGAAUUAUUGGGCGUAAAGGGCGCGUAGGCGGCCUCGCAUGUCGAAUGUGAAAGCCCACCUCUUAAAGGUGGAAUUGCAUUCGAAACUGCAAGGCUAGAGUGCCGGAGAGGGUGGUGGAAUUCCUGGUGUAGAGGUGAAAUUCGUAGAUAUCAGGAGGAACACCGGUGGCGAAGGCGGCCACCUGGACGGUAACUGACGCUGAGGCGCGAAAGCGUGGGGAGCAAACAGGAUUAGAAACCCCAGUAGUCC